UGGGAUCACACGGGGGCUUGGAGAACGA
RNAcentral lists this non-coding RNA (28 nucleotides) under Homo sapiens (human). Lineage: Eukaryota; Metazoa; Chordata; Mammalia; Primates; Hominidae. The record is from RNAcentral.